ACACCUGUGCCAAGUCGAACGAUGAAAGCCUUUCGGGGUGGAUUAGUGGCGAACGGGUGAGUAACACGUGGGCAAUCUGCCCUUCACUCUGGGACAAGCCCUGGAAACGGGGUCUAAUACCGGAUAACACUCUGUCCUGCAUGGGACGGGGUUAAAAGCUCCGGCGGUGAAGGAUGAGCCCGCGGCCUAUCAUCUUGUUGGUGGGGUAAUGGCCUACCAAGGCGACAACGGGUAGCCGGCCUGAGAGGGCGACCGGCCACACUGGGACUGAAACACGGCCCAAACUCCUACGGGAGGCAGCAGUGGGGAAUAUUGCACAAUGGGCGAAAGCCUGAUGCACCGACCCCGCGUGAGGGAUGACGGCCUUCGGGUUGUAAACCUCUUUCAGCAGGGAAAAAGCGAAAGUGACGGUACCUGCAAAAGAAGCGCCGGCUAACUACGUGCCAGCAGCCGCGGUAAUACGUAGGGCGCAAGCGUUGUCCGGAAUUAUUGGGCGUAAAGAGCUCGUAGGCGGCUUGUCACGUCGGAUGUGAAAGCCCGGGGCUUAACCCCGGGUCUGCAUUCGAUACGGGCUAGCUAGAGUGUGGUAGGGGAGAUCGGAAUUCCUGGUGUAGCGGUGAAAUGCGCAAAUAUCAGGAGGAACACCGGUGGCGAAGGCGGAUCUCUGGGCCAUUACUGACGCUGAGGAGCGAAAGCGUGGGGAGCGAACAGGAUUAGAUACCCUGGUAGUCCACGCCGUAAACGUUGGGAACUAGGUGUUGGCGACAUUCCACGUCGUCGGUGCCGCAGCUAACGCAUUAAGUUCCCCGCCUGGGGAGUACGGCCGCAAGGCUAAAACUCAAAGGAAUUGACGGGGGCCCGCACAAGCAGCGGAGCAUGUGACUUAAUUCGACGCAACGCGAAGAACCUUACCAAGGCUUGACAUAUACCGGAAAGCAUCAGAGAUGGUGCCCCCCUUGUGUCGGUAUACAGUGGUGCAUGGCCUGUCGUCAGCUCGUGUCGUGAGAUGUGGGUAAGUCCCGCAACGAGCGCAACCCUUGUCUGUGUUGCCAGCAUGCCCUUCCGGGUGAUGGGACUUCACAGGAAACUGCCGGUCACUCGGAGAAGUGGGACGACGUCAGUCAUCAUGGCCCUAUGCUUGGCUGCAACGGCUACAUGGCGGUACAUUGAACUGCAUGCCGAGCGAGCAUCUCAAAGCGGUCAGUCGAAUGUCGCACUCGACCAUGAUCGAAUUGUCGUGAAUCCUAAUAAUUACCAAAUUGCUGUCCG
This 1269-nucleotide ribosomal RNA is filed under the name Streptomyces sp. I07A-01482. RNAcentral's name for it is "partial 16S ribosomal RNA". It matches the Rfam family "Bacterial small subunit ribosomal RNA", at positions 51 to 1291 of the family's 1533-position model. The record is from RNAcentral. Lineage: Bacteria; Bacillati; Actinomycetota; Actinomycetes; Kitasatosporales; Streptomycetaceae.